GGAUUAGAUACCCUGGUAGUCCACGCCGUAAACGAUGUCAACUAGCUAUUUGUGUUCUUGAAACGUGAGUAGCGUAGCUAACGCGCUAAGUUGACCGCCUGGGGAGUACGGCCGCAAGGUUAAAACUCAAAUGAAUUGACGGGGGCCCGCACAAGCGGUGGAGCAUGUGGUUUAAUUCGAUGCAACGCGAAGAACCUUACCAUCCCUUGACAUCCAGAGAAUUUUCUAGAGAUAGAUUAGUGCCUUCGGGAACUCUGAGACAGGUGCUGCAUGGCUGUCGUCAGCUCGUGCCG
This 293-nucleotide ribosomal RNA is filed under the name uncultured bacterium. RNAcentral's name for it is "partial 16S ribosomal RNA". It matches the Rfam family "Bacterial small subunit ribosomal RNA", at positions 775 to 1067 of the family's 1533-position model. The record is from RNAcentral.